AGAACUUUAAUAUAUUUAGUAUACCUAAUUGCAGAUUAGUAAGUUAUAGUUUUU
RNAcentral lists this transfer RNA (54 nucleotides) under Aphelenchoides besseyi. RNAcentral's name for it is "tRNA-Cys". The record is from RNAcentral. Lineage: Eukaryota; Metazoa; Nematoda; Chromadorea; Rhabditida; Aphelenchoididae.